This 253-nucleotide ribosomal RNA is filed under the name uncultured bacterium. Its description in RNAcentral is "partial 16S ribosomal RNA". It matches the Rfam family "Bacterial small subunit ribosomal RNA", at positions 524 to 776 of the family's 1533-position model. The record is from RNAcentral.
UACGGAGGGUGCGAGCGUUAUCCGGAAUCACUGGGUUUAAAGGGUGCGUAGGCGGGGAAUUAAGUCAGUGGUGAAAUCUUGUCGCUUAACGAUAAAAUUGCCAUUGAUACUGAUUUUCUUGAAUUGGGUUGAGGUUAGCGGAAUGUGACAUGUAGCGGUGAAAUGCAUAGAUAUGUCAUGGAACACCAAUUGCGAAGGCAGCUAGCUGGGCCUUGAUUGACGCUGAGGCACGAAAGCGUGGGUAGCGAACAGG